GACGAACGCUGGCGGCGUGCUUAACACAUGCAAGUCGAGCGGAAAGGCCCUUCGGGGUACUCGAGCGGCGAACGGGUGAGUAACACGUGAGUAACCUGCCCUUGGCUCUGGGAUAAGCCCGGGAAACUGGGUCUAAUACCGGAUAUGGCCAUCAGAUGCAUGUCUUGGUGGUGGAAAGAUUUUUCGGCUGGGGAUGGGCUCGCGGUCUAUCAGCUUGUUGGUGGGGUGAUGGCCUACCAAGGCGACGACGGGUAGCCGGCCUGAGAGGGUGACCGGCCACACUGGGGACUGAGACACGGCCCAGACUCCUACGGGAGGCAGCAGUGGGGAAUAUUGCGCAAUGGGCGGAAGCCUGACGCAGCGACGCCGCGUGGGGA
RNAcentral lists this ribosomal RNA (377 nucleotides) under uncultured bacterium. Its description in RNAcentral is "bacterial SSU rRNA". It matches the Rfam family "Bacterial small subunit ribosomal RNA", at positions 28 to 407 of the family's 1533-position model. The record is from RNAcentral.